UGCCCAGACUCCUACGGGAGGCAGCAGUGGGGAAUAUUGCACAAUGGGGGGAACCCUGAUGCAGCGACGCCGCGUGGGUGAAGGAGUAUUUCGGUAUGUAAAGCCCUAUCAGCAGGGAAGAACAAUGACGGUACCUGACUAAGAAGCACCGGCUAAAUACGUGCCAGCAGCCGCGGUAAUACGUAUGGUGCAAGCGUUAUCCGGAUUUACUGGGUGUAAAGGGAGCGCAGGCGGCGCGUUAAGCCUGGUGUGAAAGCCCGCGGCCCAACCGCGGGACUGCAUUGGGAACUGGCGCGCUGGAGUGCCGGAGGGGUAGGCGGAAUUCCUGGUGUAGCGGUGAAAUGCGUAGAUAUCAGGAGGAACACCGGUGGCGAAGGCGGCCUGCUGGACUGCGACUGACGUUGAGGCCCGAAAGCGUGGGGAGCAAACAGGAUUAGAUACCCCGGUAU
RNAcentral lists this ribosomal RNA (449 nucleotides) under uncultured bacterium. RNAcentral describes it as "bacterial SSU rRNA". It matches the Rfam family "Bacterial small subunit ribosomal RNA", at positions 328 to 793 of the family's 1533-position model. The record is from RNAcentral.